AGAGUUUGAUCCUGGCUCAGAACGAACGCUGGCGGCGUGCCUAACACAUGCAAGUCGAACGGGAAAACCCGCAAGGGUGAGUACAGUGGCGCACGGGUGCGUAACACGUGGGUAAUCUGCCCUGAAGCCCGGAAUAACUCCCCGAAAGGGGUGCUAAUGCCGGAUGAGACCACGGGGACUUCGGUCCCUGGGGGAAAAGGUGGCCUCUGUAUACAAGCUAUCACUUCAGGAUGAGCCCGCGGCCCAUCAGCUAGUUGGCGGGGUAAUGGCCCACCAAGGCUACGACGGGUAGCUGGUCUGAGAGGACGAUCAGCCACACUGGAACUGAGACACGGUCCAGACUCCUACGGGAGGCAGCAGUGGGGAAUCUUGCGCAAUGGGCGAAAGCCUGACGCAGCAACGCCGCGUGUGUGAUGAAGGUCUUCGGAUCGUAAAGCACUGUCGGGAGGGACGAAUAAGGGCCGGGUGAACAAUCCGGUCUGACGACGGUACCUCCAGAGGAAGCACCGGCUAACUCUGUGCCAGCAGCCGCGGUAAUACAGAGGGUGCUAGCGUUGUUCGGAAUUAUUGGGCGUAAAGCGCGUGUAGGCGGCCGGCCAAGUCGGAUGUGAAAGCCCUCGGCUCAACCGAGGAAGUGCGUUCGAUACUAGCUGGCUCGAGUACCGGAGAGGGUGGUGGAAUUCCCGGUGUAGAGGUGAAAUUCGUAGAUAUCGGGAGGAACACCAGUGGCGAAGGCGACCACCUGGACGGAUACUGACGCUGAGACGCGAAAGCGUGGGGAGCAAACAGGAUUAGAUACCCUGGUAGUCCACGCUGUAAACGAUGAGCGCUAGGUGUUGCGGGUGUUGACCCCUGCAGUGCCGAAGCUAACGCAUUAAGCGCUCCGCCUGGGAAGUACGGCCGCAAGGCUAAAACUCAAAGGAAUUGACGGGGCCCGCACAAGCGGUGGAGCAUGGUGGUUUAAUUCGACGCAACGCGCAGAACCUUACCUGGUCUUGACAUCCUAGGAAUCCGCAGAGAUGGUGGGAGUGCCCGCAAGGGAGCUAGAAGAACAGGUGCUGCAUGGCUGUCGUCAGCUCGUGUCGUGGAGAAUGUGGGUAAGUCCCGCAACGAGCGCCACCUCAUCGUAGUUGCAUCAUUCAGUGGCACUCUAGCGAGACUGCGGGUCAGCCGAGAGGUGGGGAUGACGUCAAGUCUCAUGCUUAGACAGUCACACGUUUAAAUGCCGUACAACGGUUGCAAAUUCAGGGC
Molecule: ribosomal RNA, 1251 nt
Filed under: uncultured Anaeromyxobacter sp.
Lineage: Bacteria; Pseudomonadati; Myxococcota; Myxococcia; Myxococcales; Anaeromyxobacteraceae
Description: bacterial SSU rRNA
Rfam family: Bacterial small subunit ribosomal RNA
Source: RNAcentral